GUUUCUUUUGUACAUUACGCACAACAUGACAUUCCAUUACAUUCAAGAGUGUGUGAAAAUACUCGAGCGCCAGGCCUGUCAAGGCCAUGCAAAGCGGCACUCAGAGUCAUAGAUGCACAGGUGUGUGGGAUUUGCGACUCGCAAGACGUGCACUUGUGUCUCCACCAGCACAAUCCGACGAGCCGACUUUGAAGAUUCACUAAUGAUCCUUCCGCAGGUUCACCUACGGAAA
This 232-nucleotide unclassified non-coding RNA is filed under the name uncultured fungus. Its description in RNAcentral is "sequence contains ITS1". Lineage: Eukaryota; Fungi. The record is from RNAcentral.